GUUUUAAUAAUUUAAUGAAAAUAUUGGUCUUGUAAACCAAAAAUAAGAUAACCUUUUAAAACU
Molecule: transfer RNA, 63 nt
Filed under: Roisinitermes ebogoensis
Lineage: Eukaryota; Metazoa; Arthropoda; Insecta; Blattodea; Kalotermitidae
Description: tRNA-Thr
Rfam family: tRNA
About the family: Transfer RNA (tRNA) molecules are approximately 80 nucleotides in length. Their secondary structure includes four short double-helical elements and three loops (D, anti-codon, and T loops). Further hydrogen bonds mediate the characteristic L-shaped molecular structure. tRNAs have two regions of fundamental functional importance: the anti-codon, which is responsible for specific mRNA codon recognition, and the 3' end, to which the tRNAs corresponding amino acid is attached (by aminoacyl-tRNA synthetases). tRNAs cope with the degeneracy of the genetic code in two manners: having more than one tRNA (with a specific anti-codon) for a particular amino acid; and 'wobble' base-pairing, i.e. permitting non-standard base-pairing at the 3rd anti-codon position.
Source: RNAcentral